RNAcentral lists this long non-coding RNA (422 nucleotides) under Mus pahari (shrew mouse). RNAcentral describes it as "lncRNA (MGP_PahariEiJ_G0005885.1)". Lineage: Eukaryota; Metazoa; Chordata; Mammalia; Rodentia; Muridae. The record is from RNAcentral.
GAUGUGGGAAGCUCCAUCUUAAAAGUACAGGACAUCGUUCUCUGGGAUUCAUGCACAGGCUGAUUGAAAGGUAGAAAGUCAUCUGAGCACCAGAGCUCAUCAUUCUUUGCUUCCAGCUAGCCCCCCCUCUUGCUGCUGGGCCUCCCCUGCCUGUCGCCUUGCCUUCCCUCCAGUCCUUACCUUCCCCCUUGUCCAGUGUUUGCUCACAGACCUGAAGGAACAGAAACCAGGAGACUUUCCUGUAGUUAAUUUCCUGCAACGAGAUUCUUUGUCAUCAGAAAGAGAGGUAGCUUAUGACUAAAUGUGAAGAUGUGGCUUAUCCCUCUCCCUGGACCCAAUCACUUAUUGAAUUAACACCAAGGCUCUCUUUCCAGAUGGGAGGACAAUCCUAGUAACAAAAUAAAAUAUAUCAGUGCCACUCA